AAUAGGGAGGAAAAAAAAAAACAAAUUAUCAUCUCAAUUAAAACAUAUAUAUAUGUAUUUCUAUCAAAUGCUUCCACAUUCAUAUAAGGUAAACUUGCCUCUUUGACGACUAAAAUAUUUUAGGAAGAAAAUACGUUGUGAUUGUCAUCUUCAGGGCAUUUUCAGUGACGAUUUAUGGCAGUAGUUUAAAAUAAAAUUCUUAGUCAUUCAGCAUUUUAACUGAAAGCUACAUGUUAUGCAAGCAGUUUAUCAAACCCAUUGAGCUACCUGCCUAGUAGUAACGCAGCAAUAAAUAGUGAUAGCAUUUAAGACCAUUUUCAUCAUUAGUACUGUCAGAUCUGAUUGAAAUAUUAUGAAUGUUAAGGUUAAAUAUAUGAAGGCAAUAAAUAUUGAUAUGAAGGAUGCUCAAGAGAGUUGUGUUUCCCAAGUGGGUCUGGGGGCAGACUUGUUAUGAUGAUGGCUACUGCCAGCUCAUUGCAUGGCAACAGUUUGAGGGUGGUGUUUGCAAAGCUGGGAGCCAGACAGGAGAUUCUGUGCUGCGGUGGAGUUGAACACAUGCAAUAGAAGGGACACCCUCUGUGCCAGGACCUCCCUCAGCACCCACCAGCUGAAGAUAAUUGGGGGAGAGUGAAAGCUAUAUUGUGCUUUGCUAUCUCCGUGUUCGCAUGCAUGCAUGCCCUCGCUUUUUCUGUCUGAACCACUUUAUCCUGUCAGUCGCUGAGGAUGUGCAGGAGUGGACCAUGCCACCAUGUGGUGCUUUAUCAAGGACCAGAUCUAUGGCCCAAGCAUCACCAGGUCACUUAUCUUUCAGCUUCCAGAAGGUUUUAUAGCGUACCUCAGCAGUAAGAAGAGCUUGUUCCUGUUCACCAUCAUUAUUCCAGUCAAGGCAGAGGCAGCUUUUGAACCCUGCGAUGUUCAUCUCUGGCUAGUUCAGGGCUUGGAAUCGAUCAGGGGCGAUGAUAAUCCAUUAAGCUGCAUUCAGCACAUCUCUUUUAGAAAGAUGGAGAAAAUGAACCUCUGACCACAGAGAACAGAGCUGAGAUGGGGAAGACAUGCUGGGAGGAUCAGGUCCAGCUCUGGCACAGUGAGGCCGAAGCAGGGGUUACAAGGUGACGCCAACGCUUUCCCUACAUCAGCCUCUGUCCUGUAGGUCUGUGCAGCUCCAGCCCCGUGCCUCUUAUCUGACUCCUUCAGAGAUUUUCUCCAACGGUUUCUUAGCAUCACAUCCAUGUUCUUCUGAAAUUUCUCAUGUUUUCAGGGUUUUCAUAAGAACACGUGGCCAGUAUUUACUAUGGAGUGGCGCUUGGGCCAGGGUGAAUUUUACCUUCCAAGAAUUGGGGAUUUUAACUGACACAAUCCAAAGAUCAUGUCAAAGAAUUUUUUUUUGCCCUGCUGUCAGUGACAUUUGCAAGUGAUGGAAAACUAUCCAUAUGGCUAAACAGACUAUCUCCACUCCCCCACAAGUAGUGACUUAGAGGAAGAAAGAAAUAUGCAUCCUGAUCAUCUGUUUUGUAACAGGAUAUUUAUCUCAAGCUUUCAAGAAUUUCAUUAUUCUUCAUGGGGAGGAGGGGAACGGGCACUAAGGCAGAAUCUGUAAUAGAUUAUUGAUGCUGGGAUGUGAGUAAGCUGGGGCAGGAAACCUGCCUGAGCCCUGCUAUUACCCACGGAGAGGGGUUGUGGGCCUGUGAUAACACCGGGUGGAGAAAGAAGAAGAGGCAUUUUUACCAUAGUCAGUUUGGAGUCCAAGAAGAAUAAAUGAGUUUUGAAAAAAUCUGAGGGUCCUGAGAAAAGAAGGGAGGGGGACAUCUUUAAUGCAUAGGAAGAGAGGACUGUUUAGAAUGGAGACCAGGGACAAGGCUGUAAAUCCAUUUCUGCAGACAUAUCUGGGAGAGUUCACCCUGUUGAGCUGCACGGAGAUUGAAUCUCAGCUCUGUGCCUCUAGUCCAGUUAAAGCAAAUGGCUUAACUGACCUGCACCAUCCCAGUGUCUGUGGCCAUCUGAAAAUGACCUCAUUUGAACUUCGGUUCUGAACUAAGGUACAUUAAAAUUACAAAGCUCUUUGCUUCCAGUCAGGACUUCCAGGGUUGGUAUUAAUAGCUUUGGUGAGCUGUAGUCCAUUGAUUUAAAGCACCUGUGCUUCUGCAAGUCAGGACUUCAUCAAUUUUUUUAUCACUUACACAGGAAGAGUGCUGGGCUUAAUGCUAUUUAUCCAGCUGGACAUAUUGACUUUGACUUAGGAGAUCAAAGCAUUUGGGUUAGGGAUUGUGUAACAUCUUCGUAUAAGAACUGUCAGGGGUAAAUUUACCAAAGGCUGAAGCUUUGAUUGAUGAUCAUUUUGCAGGAAUGUUCAGCAUAAGGAAGUACAUAAUAGACCGUUUCUCUUGAUGGACCUGCAAGCCACACCACCUUUAAAUAUACAUAUUUUGAAACACAUUUCAUCACCUUCUGGAACAUAACAGUACACAAAAAAACUCUGGAAGGCACCUUCGAAAGCGAGUUUUCCCUAUGUGAGUAAAUGGCCCCAAGGAGGUGGCCCAAGACCCCUUAGAAUGUGGGAGCCAGUAAGGAGAAUGCAUUAGUUGUCUUUUUUUAUUAUUUGCUGUUUGUAAUAGCAGUACUCCCCAGCGGAUAGGAGGCGGGAAAGUGCGAGCUCCAGAGCUCACAGAUUCAGUUCUCUGCUCCAGAGCAGCAACACAAGCUGGCAUACAGUGAGGCCUUCCUCUUGGGAGAGGUAAAAGAGACUGGACUUCUGGUCCCAGCUUAGGGAAAGGCAUGCCACCUUCUGUGGAAUUAUUUUCCCCAUCUAUUAAUAUGUGGAGGAUACUAAAUAUGCUUGUUAAACACGCAAGCAUUUUUUAUCACCGAUCGUUGGUGUUUAUUUACAUCUAACUUUUAAAAUGCAUGUCACUGGCCACCAGCUUGGAAGUGGGACUAGCUAAGAGGUGCUAGCUGCCCUCCCAUGAUCAAGAAUAUUUUCUACCAAAAGGCUAAUUUCCUAUUUCUGUUUCAAAGUAAGCCAUGCAGGAUGCCUGUCACAGCCUUACUGUAAUUUAAAAAACAGCAGUCCCCUCAUCACAGGAGGUGUUGGCUACAUGGAUGCACUCUUGUUAGCUGCCCUUGCUACAGUUAUAGGAGGCAUGUACAGAAUUCAAACAGGUGGAAUAUGGCAGAGAAUUGUCUAAGCUUUUCUCUCAGCAUUAAAUUUAAAGCCAACAAGCUAUAUAGGAUUAGACUAGCAUUAUAACUGUCCAUCCAUGGGUUUUAGAGCCACAUAGAGCAUUGUCUCGAUCCCUGGAGGCAUUCAAGAAAUGUUUAGAUAUUAUACUGAGAGAUAUGGUUUAGUGGGAAAUAUUGGUGAUAGGUGAAUGGUUGGACUGGACGGUCUUGGAGGUAUUUUCCAACCUUGGUUAUUCUGUAAUUCUAUGAUUGUUGCCAUGUGCUUCUUUCAGCAAGGUGCUCUGAGUGCAGACCCUGCCCAGCAGCACUGUUCUGGCUGGUCCCCUCCCAACAUCUGCAGCCAGCCUGCUCCCACCCGUAGAGGAAAGGGCACUGUCAGCGGUGGGAAGGGGGCUGGUUGCUGCCGCCACUCUGUCUGCAACUCAUUGCCUUCGUCCUGAGUGUGCCACAGUGGCUUUUCCUUUCUUUACUUUCUUCCUUUUUUUUUUUUUUUAAAUUCUGCAAACAAACAAACACAACCUACAUAAAUGGGGUGCGGACUACGUGGCUCAAGGACUCAGGAUGAUUAAAAGCAGGAGCCAUACAGAGACAUCCAGAAAUGAUUGUUUUUAACAAGACAGGAACUUUGUCUGAAAACAGGAUGACCUGCUACAAAAGACGCCAACAAAUCCCCGUAGAGCUUUAGAAAAAACAAGCAGGCGCCUGAGUGUGCUUUAAAAAAAAAAAAUCCAGCCUGGUAAUAAAAAGGCAUGUAAGGGUAAACAGGAAAAGAGCACUCCACACUGCAAGCAGCCCGGAGGAGGAAAGGCUGGGAAGAGAGCUGAUCUGAAAACCUGAUAUGGAAACCAAAGAGAACGAUUUCUUCAUAUCCCUGGUACAAACUCCCUGUGCAAACACAAUGUCGGGGCAGCUGUGAGCAGCACUUCCCUACUGGUUUCACUGUGCCUUCCUUCCAGUCCUUUCCAGUGAAGGCUGUGGGACAGCAACAGGCGCUCCACAGGUGGUGUUGGUUUGCAUUUCAGACUUCCACGAAACAGUUUUUUUCUAGUGCAAAACUUUAUUUCCUGAAGGUAAAAUGAUUGCAGUUCAGCCCACCUGUGUUGCAUUUACACAGCUCUCUCCCAGUUUUAGCAUGAAUCUCUUGACAUCUGUUGUGUUUUCCGCUAAGCGUUGGCUCCGUAAGUCUUGUUGAAUUUUAAAAUCAAAUGCUGAUUUGAAAAAUUAGGAUAUUGAUAGACUUCAUCAUGCUGACAACCCCUGCUUGUUGGCAGUAUCUGCAGACUCAGCUCCUAGGAAGUUUUCCCAUCAUGGCCUGCAUGCCAUCAGCUAGAGACCCAUGACAGCGGCCAUCAUGGUACAUACUGCAAGCUUCUGUGCAGCAGCUAUCCCCUUUGUUGUGCUCCGAAGUCGAGCACUGCCUCAGCACUGAAAUGACAGCCUGUCACAGCCUAUGCUAACAUGUGGCCAGAAGCAGCUUCUACAGCAGCUGUACAACCCAUGACUGGAAGAGGUCCAGCCCUCAGGCACAGAAGGGCAGACCAGUGGUGUGGCUUCCUGCCGCUGCAUGGCCACAGUUGGCCCUGAGGUGGCUCCUCCUGAAGGAGGAUCCUGAAGAAAUGCUGCAUUCCUGACAACUUCCAUGGCCUCACAGGAAUCAGCGUGAGUUUCAGAGAAGCUUCUGGAUCCCUUUCCUCAGGAGUAGCCCUAAAUUCCUGGCAAUACGUGUCACGUGCUAUCUUUGUCUCCUGUGGGGCCCUGUGUCCUUUGGUGCUUGGCUGCCACUGGUGCCAGGUGGUGCCCAGAGAGGCACUGGUGCUCCUGGGAGGGGAAGAGGGGAAGAAGGCUCAUGUGCAUGAGCUCUUCAGAUGAUGGAAAAGACAUAAGCAUCCACCCUUUUCUGAGUAUUGCCUGAAGACUGAGGAGGAGCUGCUUGUCCUUAGCCAUGGCUGGCUGCUCCAGAGCUCCCAGCCUGCUGGUGGCCUCUGAGGAAGAUGGGAUGUGGUUUUGUGGGUCAGGUAUCUCCAUUUAGUGUACUCCAGAUCAGAGUCCAUUUUCCCUAAGUAAGCAAGGAAAAGACAGCAGCCUGUACUUUCCCUUUCUGAAGAUGUCAGCAUGUCUCUGCCCCAAGGCUCUGUCCCCUUUAGGAGUAAUGCCUUCUGCACAUGGGACCACUCAUAGUCACGCUGUGCCAAGACCCUGGGUGCUCAGUGCCCUGCAGAGAACCUCCUGUCCUGUCCUGGCUUAGGGGAGAGCUGGGUUCAAGCUUUCUCAGGUAACCCCAUGGGCAUGGGUUUCUAUAGUCACUGCAUCAGUAUAAAAUAAACUUGCAUUUUCUUCUUUCCUGUUGUAUCAGUAAAGGUUGAUCAUGUGAUUUCCCAUAGAACAUAUUAUUGAUCAUUUUCCACGGCCUGCAGCGCCCUUCAGCACUGUACUACUUAACAAUAAUAAUUAUAGAGUCAAUACAAUGAUCAGGGAAAUUUCCAAUUUCCACGAAGUGAAAUUAAAACUAAAUGAAUUUUUAUUAUGCUCAAGAUGGAUAGCAAUGUCAGCUGCUUUGUCCAUUGGUUUCAUAAUUAGCAGAGUCUCACAUGCAUGAUCAAUAGCAUGUGACACUAGUAUCUAAAGGAGCAUGCUUUGUUUUGCAUAUAUAUCUUCCAACCUACCCAUGCAUACAGAACAUAAAACCUCUUUGCUAGUGUGUAUGUGAACAUUCCUAUAGAAGGAUCCAGAGAACUUUGUUCUUACAAGAUGUUUGUGUCUUCUUUGGACAAAGAAAGACAUAAUUUCACCUGCAUUGGUCUAAAAAAAUAUAAUUCUAAGUAAACAUGUCAAAGUGGUCAUGACUUGAUUUUAAAAAGAUGGUAAAGCAAGUGCAGAAGAUAUGUAAAUAGAUCACUGGAGGGGAAAAGAAAUAAUUUCUUCUCCGCAAGAAAGAGAUGCUUAAACUCUUCACUGAAAUGAAUUCAAAUUGGGCAAGAUAUCUCAGGUCUCCAAUUCAUCUCACAAAUUGCCGAAGGAGCAGAACAGAAACAGCAUCACUGAAGAUCUAGCAUGGAAGAAAACAUUUCAUUAAUGUUUAAAGAAAUGGCAAGUUCAGGGCAGUUGCUUAUAUUUCUGCAUUGUUUUUUCCUCCAUCACUUUAUAAAGAAUAAAAGGUAGUAGCUUC
Meleagris gallopavo (turkey) is the source of this 6343-nucleotide non-coding RNA. Lineage: Eukaryota; Metazoa; Chordata; Aves; Galliformes; Phasianidae. The record is from RefSeq and is a predicted model, not a curated record.